GGAGGGUGCAAGCGUUAUCCGGAUUCACUGGGUUUAAAGGGUGCGUAGGCGGAAAGGUAAGUCCGUUGUGAAAUCUCCGAGCUUAACUCGGAAAUUGCGGUGGAUACUAUCAUUCUUGAAUACUGUGGAGGUUAGCGGAAUAUGUCAUGUAGCGGUGAAAUGCAUAGAUAUGACAUAGAACACCAAUUGCGAAGGCAGCUGGCUACACAGAUAUUGACGCUGAGGCACGAAAGCGUGGGGAUCAAACAGGAUUAGAUACCCUGGUAGUCCACGCCCUAAACGAUGAUUACUCGACAUUUGCGAUACACAGCAAGUGUCUGAGCGAAAGCAUUAAGUAAUCCACCUGGGAAGUACGACCGCAAGGUUGAA
Molecule: ribosomal RNA, 369 nt
Filed under: uncultured bacterium
Lineage: Bacteria
Description: bacterial SSU rRNA
Rfam family: Bacterial small subunit ribosomal RNA
Source: RNAcentral